RNAcentral lists this transfer RNA (72 nucleotides) under Ictidomys tridecemlineatus (thirteen-lined ground squirrel). RNAcentral's name for it is "Spermophilus tridecemlineatus (thirteen-lined ground squirrel) tRNA". It matches the Rfam family "tRNA". From Rfam's summary of the family: Transfer RNA (tRNA) molecules are approximately 80 nucleotides in length. The record is from Rfam by way of RNAcentral. Lineage: Eukaryota; Metazoa; Chordata; Mammalia; Rodentia; Sciuridae.
UGGAUUGUAGUUCAGUGGUGGAGCGCUUACCUAGCAUGUGUGAGUCACUGGGUUCAAUUCUCAGCACUGCAU